CUUGGCUGUGUAUGUGUGUGUGUGUGUGUGUGUGUGUGUGUGUGUAUAUAUAUAUAUACACACACACACACACACACACACACACACACACAAACC
Podarcis lilfordi (Lilford's wall lizard) is the source of this 96-nucleotide non-coding RNA. NCBI's taxonomy places the organism in Eukaryota, Metazoa, Chordata, Lepidosauria, Squamata, Lacertidae. The record is from the annotation of a GenBank genome assembly.